GCCGGGCGCGGUGGCGCGUGCCUGUAGUCCCAGCUACUCGGGAGGCUGAGGUGGGAGGAUCGCUUGAACUCAGGAGUUCUGGGCUGUAGUGCACUAUGCUGAUCGGGUGUCCGCACUAAGUUCAGCAUCAAUAUGGUGACUUCCCGGGAGCAGGGGACCACCAGAUUGCUUAAGGAGGGGUGAACCGGCCCAGGUCGGAAAUGGAGCAGGUCAAAACUCCCGUGCUGAUCAGUAGUGGGAUCGCGCCUGUGAAUAGCCACUGCACUCAAGCCUGGGCAACAUAGCGAGACCCCGUCUCU
This 299-nucleotide signal recognition particle RNA is filed under the name Aotus nancymaae (Ma's night monkey). RNAcentral describes it as "Metazoan signal recognition particle RNA (ENSANAG00000014875.1)". It matches the Rfam family "Metazoan signal recognition particle RNA". From Rfam's summary of the family: The signal recognition particle (SRP) is a universally conserved ribonucleoprotein. The record is from RNAcentral. Lineage: Eukaryota; Metazoa; Chordata; Mammalia; Primates; Aotidae.